Long non-coding RNA from Protopterus annectens (West African lungfish), 1840 nucleotides. RefSeq lists it as uncharacterized. Lineage: Eukaryota; Metazoa; Chordata; Ceratodontiformes; Protopteridae. The record is from RefSeq and is a predicted model, not a curated record. The transcript has 2 exons.
UUCAUUUUAUAAAUCUCACAUCUGACAAGUAUGAGACCCAGAUGUUCUCUGGAUUUUGGAUGAUUUGCAGUACUGAAAUCAUAAAGGCAUCCAGUUGUUUGAAAGCACACGCAGCCAAAUAUCUGCCAGCUCAGAUUCUUCGGAUGACACAGGCAACUUUUCUUCCCAUUUUAAUGAAGCUAAAAUGCAAAGAUUACAGCUGGCUACUAGAAUGGCUUUUUGACUUGUGGAUGCUGUCUGUUUAGCAAGCCAGAUUUGUCAGAGAAGAUCCUUCUUACCCUGAGACAGUUUUAUGCUUUAAAGAAAGUCCACAGACGAUAGGAACUGAAAGGAAUCUUGUUUUAUUGCUUGCAGCAAAUAUAGCCUGUACUAUCAUCAGUAGGAACUGAAAGGAAUCUUGUUUUAUUGCUUGCAGCAAAUAUAGCCUGUACUAUCAUCAGUAUUAACUUGGUUCGUCUAGACCACUCAUUACGUCCAGAGCUUGAUUCCACAGGAGAAACAUUUUCUUUUCAGGAAGAUAGCUGAGACGUUAAAAGUUUCCUAAGACCACAUACAAGUGAUGAAGAUCUGACAUGGAACUGAGCUCUGUGCACCGAGCACAUUUACAAUCUGGAGGAAAAGCAGAGAGAGAGAGAGAAUGUGUUAAAACUGUCAACAUUAAUUUCCCCAGAAGCAGUUAUAACAUUGUUAAAAAAUAUUGCCUUGGUUUGCAGCACCAGGCAUACUAAUAUUAGUACCAGCAUACCCAUAAUACAUCUGCAAGAUAACUGAAAUAGUCAAUGAUUUCUUGUGAAUAACAUUAUAAAGUUAAUUUAAACACUGUCAUUUGAGUUAUAAGCAGAGUAUAUUUGAGAAUUGCAGUUUUGUUUUUUAAGGCACAAUGUAAAUGACAUACAUCUCUGUAUAACUGUCAUAGUGGUUUCUAUUACUUUUUUUCAACAGUAGGUGGUGCCCAUUGAUUCUUGUAUUUGUAUAGGCUGUUUGUUACUAUUAGUAGGUAGUUUCUGGCAUGAGUUUUAUUUCAGCACAUAUAGCAUUUCUGCAUAAAAGACCUGUAGUGACUUAUUUAACACAAAGUUACAUUUUUCUACAGUUGUUAAGCACAAAGUCAGUUAUUUUAUUCCAUCGCGUCUUCAUAACUACUAAUCACUGAUACAGUGUUUGAAUAGAUAAAAAUACCUGCAAAAAUAGGUAGUGACAGUGACACAUUAAUUAAUGAACAGUAAUGUGCGUGUGGCAUAACAUACAUUUGUAGAUAUCACAUGCUGUCACUGUGUUUAUGAUUGUCUGGUUAUUCUAAGGUGUUGUAUUGCAUUCCAAUUCCAUGAUGUUGUGAUGUCAGUCAUUAAUCAUGUUGCAUUUCUCAUUUGAUUUGCAUACAUUUUUUUAAGUUUAACACUGCUCCUUCUUCUCCCUAUAUGUUGAUAAUAAACAUCUGCUAUUCAGGAGAUGACAACAUGACACAUUACUUGCACAUAAAUCUCAAUUACAGUUGAGAGUAAUUCUCAUAUUGACACCUCAACAUAAUUGUCUGAGGCACACCUACAAAUUAUGUAGCAUGAAAGUAAGGAUUUUGUUAGACUGUCCAUUUAACAGUGUCAUAAAGCCCACGUGAAGUGAUUUAUGCUAUAGUGCUCAUUCAAAAUCUUAUCUUGUUAAUGUCAUUAUGGACUUACAGUGUAGUAUGUUUUUUGGAAUGUAAAAGCAUGUCAGUGUUGUUGCAGUGUAAUAGCAUCAUCAUGAAUAUGUCAUGAAAUAUGUGUGUACUGGCUGUGCGCAUUCACUUUUCAUGCAUAGUGAUCGUUGGUUCGUACUUCAGUAAUAAAAGCAUUUUCUGGGA